CAGAAGAGUAGGAAGCAUUCUGGGGAAGGAGCAGUGAGGGCCGGGACAGUAAAGUCAAGAGCUUCUGGGGUGAGGGUCCCUAGACUGGAAUCUGGAGUAGAGGAUGGGCCUGGGUUCCCCUACCAGCCCUGAAGAGUGGCUCUGAAUGGAAAGACUUGGAUAUACUCCAGAAGCGGUGGGAACACUGAGUGACCUAGCUAGAGAGUUGAGUCACAAAGAAGAUACUGUGGUUCCUGGAAUGAGAGAGGAGCUGGAGACCUGAGAGAUAGAUGGUGUGAUGGCGUGCAACCCCAGGAUGGGGUGUCAGCCUUCAGAGAAUUCCCAGAGUGACCAGGAGGAGGUGCCAGACAAGUGCCAACACAACCCCAGAUAAUGGUUUGUGUAACAGGCUCCCCACACCACAGCAGCAGCCCUGGGAAUCCUGGCUGGAGCUGGUUUUCCUGGAGCUGGUAGGCUCCCUGCUGUAGAGCUGCUAAGUGGUAUUGGCAUUCUUGAGAGACACAGGAUAGGUGAGGAAAUAUCUUUCACUGGACCUUCUGGUGGUGGAUGGUACAAGCUUUCAAGCUACACUGCUGGAGGUACACAGUUUGAAAGCUUGUAUCUUCCACCAACAGAAAGAAGUUGGUCCAAUAAGAUAUUAUCUCACCUACCUCAUCUCUCUCCUAUACUGGGACCAACACAGGGGCAAUAACUUUGCAACUGACAUUCUUGUCAGUUUCACAGUUGCUAAUCAC
This is a long non-coding RNA of Chelonia mydas (Green sea turtle), 734 nucleotides long. RefSeq lists it as uncharacterized. The record is from RefSeq and is a predicted model, not a curated record. The transcript is spliced from 2 exons. Lineage: Eukaryota; Metazoa; Chordata; Testudines; Cheloniidae.